UNAAACUGCUUGGGAAACUGAUAAUCUAGAGUAAGGGAGAGGCAGAUGGAAUUCUUGGUGUAGGGGUAAANUCCGUAGAUAUCAAGAAGAAUACCUAUUGCGAAGGCGAUCUGCUGGAACUUAACUGACGCUAAUGCGUGAAAGCGUGGGGAGCAAACAGGAUUAGAUACCCUGGUAGUCCACGCCCUAAACGAUGUAUACCGGUUGUUGCUGUGCUAGUCACGGCAGUAAUCCACCUAACGGAUUAAGCAUACCGCCUGGGGAGUACGGUCGCAAGAUUAAAACUCAAAGGAAUAGACGGGGACCCGCACAAGCGGUGGAGCAUGUGGUUUAAUUCGAAGAUACGCGAAGAACCUUACCCGGACUUGAUAUCUAACAAAUCAUCCAGAGAUGGAAGAGUGUCUGCUUGCAGAGAUGUUAAGACAGGUGCUGCACGGCUGUCGUCAGCUCGUGUCGUGAGAUGUUGGGUUAAGUCCCGCAACGAGCGCAACCCACGUCAUUAGUUGCUAACGGUUCGGCCGAGCACUCUAAUGAGACUGCCUUCGUAAGGAGGAGGAAGGUGUGGACGACGUCAAGUCAUCAUGGCCCUUAUGUCCGGGGCGACACACGUGCUACAAUGGCAUAUACAAUAAGACGCAAUAUCGUAAGAUGGAGCAAAUCUAAAAAAUAUGUCCCAGUUCGGAUUGGAGUCUGCAACUCGACUCCAUGAAGCCGGAAUCGCUAGUAAUCGUAGAUCAGCCAUGCUACGGUGAAUACGUUCCCGGGUCUUGUACUCACCGCCCGUCACACCAUGGGAGUUGAUUUCACUCGAAGCGGGAAUGCGAAAUUCGCUA
This 833-nucleotide ribosomal RNA is filed under the name uncultured bacterium. RNAcentral describes it as "bacterial SSU rRNA". It matches the Rfam family "Bacterial small subunit ribosomal RNA", at positions 616 to 1444 of the family's 1533-position model. The record is from RNAcentral.